CCCUGGCCAUGUACCACCAUUAAAAAUAAAAGUGUGCUUUUUCUCUAACUAGCUACCGUAGCCCUGGAGAUGAACCCACCUGGGUAGAGUGAGGAGUGGGAGAAACUGCUGCUUCUGAUCUCAGGAGACAUUUGGACCUCAGGAGACACUGCAGGAGGAGCAGGCACUAUGGUGCUCAGUAUCACUGUGGUAUUCAGGUUCAUUCUGAACUGGGACAAAUGUUGGAGAUCUCACUUCUGGAAAGCACAUCUGAGCAGCUGAGUUGAACCAGGUACUGUUCACCCUUUGUAUCCUUGUAUGCUUACUUAUUCUGUUUGCUCUUUCCAGUGUGCAUUCCCUGCUGCAUUAAUGUUAUGAUGCUGGUUAAAAUUGCUUCAUCAUCUGUCUAUUAAAUUAAAAGAUCAUCAAGGCAUUAAAGUGUUACUUAGUAGCUGGUGUUUACACAGAUUGGUCAUUAAAGAUUCCAAGCUCCAUUUAGCUCAGCGCUUACAAAGUAACUCAUUAAGCUAAGAUUGCAAGGCCCCCAUUCAGCAAAACACCUACCAUGUGUUCAAAUACCAUUAAAUUCACUGAGUUUUAGGCUCAUCAUUUUGACUUUUGCCAUUCUGUUCAUUGGGCA
Molecule: long non-coding RNA, 619 nt
Filed under: Parus major (Great Tit)
Lineage: Eukaryota; Metazoa; Chordata; Aves; Passeriformes; Paridae
Description: lncRNA (ENSPMJG00000005128.1)
Source: RNAcentral